Molecule: transfer RNA, 72 nt
Filed under: Phytophthora infestans (potato late blight agent)
Lineage: Eukaryota; Oomycota; Peronosporomycetes; Peronosporales; Peronosporaceae
Rfam family: tRNA
About the family: Transfer RNA (tRNA) molecules are approximately 80 nucleotides in length. Their secondary structure includes four short double-helical elements and three loops (D, anti-codon, and T loops).
Source: Rfam by way of RNAcentral
GGGGGAAUAGCUCAGUGGUAGAGCGCUAGAUUCCAGUCCCAGCGGUCGGGGGCUCGAUCCCCUCUUCCUUAA